Long non-coding RNA from Cryptomeria japonica (Japanese cedar), 5434 nucleotides. RefSeq lists it as uncharacterized. The record is from RefSeq and is a predicted model, not a curated record. The transcript is spliced from 10 exons. Lineage: Eukaryota; Viridiplantae; Streptophyta; Pinopsida; Cupressales; Cupressaceae.
UAAUCUUCCAUAAAAACAACAGAUUCAACAAAACAACAGAAUAGAUCACUACAUGUACAAAUAAACAUCAUGAAACCACUUUACAUACAGAACAAAUCCUCUAAAGUCACAUAACCAUAGAUGAAGCAAUUUUCAAUUCUCAUACAUUCUUAAUACAUACUUCAAAGUUAACUAUCUUCAAUUAUGAAAAUUCUGACAUACCUCUACUCUCUUUGAAAUAUUAGAUAUCUAUCUAGCCUUGCCCCAACAAAUUGAUGCUAUCAAAUUGAAGAGAAGCCAGACCAAUAGAACUUACUAUACAAAGAACAGAGCCAAUAUCCCCAGGAAAUGACAAUUGAGACAUCAUGCACUACACAGACCUGGCAAUAACUCAGGAAAGUUAUUACAAAUAGAAAACAAUGAUCUUGAGCAAAUUAAUGGCAAUCAAACAUAUUCUACUGCUCCUAAACUUGCCGUGAAGACUCUUUCAUUUCAAAAUACAUUGUCUAAUUUCCACAAAAGGAUUGAUAUGUUAGAGGUCACAUAGCCAUGUUCUGUUUGUAAAGAAAUGUAUGUGGGCAUGACUAUUAAAAAAGUCAAUCACAUACUUAUGUGCAUGAGAUGUUAUGGUGAAAAAGGGCUCUGCCGUUUCUCAUUAUCAAACAAUAUGGACCCAGGUGAGCAACCUUUUGUUUUAAAGUCUCUCUCUCAAGUAGAAGAAAUGCUCAUAUCAAGAAUUGCCCCUGUUUUACAAGUAACACAUGCAAGGGGAGGCCAAUACAAAUAUUCUAGCCAUACAAUAAACUUCCCACAAGAUAUUUCUGAAAUUGCAAUAACAUUACCUCGUCAUAUUAAACAAUUAGAAAUUCUUAUUGUCCGUAGAACCAAUUUGCAAGGAUUAACUUAUGACUGUUAUGUGAAUAGAUUUCACGUCAUGAAUGCAUUGGCUUACAAAAUGAAACAUGAUCAAUACUACAAGGAUGUAGUCGUUGAUCUAGAUGCAGUGCAUCUAUUGCCAGACUAGUCCACUGACAUUACAGAGCUACUGCAUUCAGUCGAUCCACUGCAAGAAGAUGUUGUUCAAGAUACUUCCACUCUGCCAAAUAUUCACAUUGAAGAACAAAUAGGGGAGAAUACUUCCUCAUUUAUCCCAAAAUUGCCAUCAUCAAUACCAGAACUUGAUGCCAUAAAAAACAUCCUCCAUCUAGACAACAGCAACAACAAUGUUAUUCCUUGGCCACAAAUCAGUACAUCACCCAUCAAUGAGUACAAUACAAAGGGCCUCCUUUCCAUGGCAUUCCCAACACUUUUCCCUUCUGGAAUGGAUUUACCACUACAACAAAGAACAAAGCAUGUACACUUACAUCAAUAUGCUUUGCACCUGAUCAAAUAUUAUGAUCAAAGAUUUGGGCAACAUGUUUGCUUUAGAUAUUAUAUCUACAAUCUUAUGAUGAGACAUCAAUCCCAACAAUCAGUUGUUAUCUUCAUUAAGACUAAUCUAGAAGAUAGUCUUCCACACAACCUUCAUGGCCUAAAAGAAUACUUACAAAAUACACCCUCAAGUGAAUUGCCAAAUCAUAUCAUGUGAUAUGCAGCCUCGUUGCAUGCUACACAAGCAUUUUGGGGAAAAUCCUAGCGUGAUCUUACAUCCAUGAUAGAAUAGUUAGGUACACCUACCCUGUUCUUUACCUUAAGCUCAGCUGAUACAAAAUGGCCAGACUUGCAUAAUUUAUUGCCAAAAACAAAGUCAACUCCUGAACCCAACAACAAAAGAUAAUUUAUUGAAAAUUUAGUCAAUAAUCCACACAUUACAGCCUUAUACUUGCACUUAAGAUUUCAAAUCUGCCAUGAUGAAGUAAUUGUCAAAGAACUAAAAACUAUUGACCAUUGGUACAGAUAUGAAUGGCAACACCAAGGAUCUGCACAUAUACAUGGCUUUCUUUGGUUACCAGAAGCACCAAAUGUCGAUAACCUUGAUUGGUCAGAUCCUGCAAGUAUCCAAUCAAUUAAACACUUCUUUGACCAGUACAUUACAACAUGGAAUCCACGCCCUGAAGAAGAUCACUUGAACAAACAAUAUAUGCCUGCAACUUCAGAUCCAUAUCUUGCAGAUACAAAGAUCAUUUCCAAGUCUGAUCCUUGCACUAAUUAUACAGAGUUGCUCAAUGUUGUUCAACAACAUACCAAGUGUUCAGAGUAUACCUGCUUGAGGAAAAAAAACUCAACCCUUCAAUGUGAGUACAAAGCUCCUUGGCCUGAACAACAUGAAUCAUCAUUGAUAUUAGAUGACAACAAUAACCCAUCAUACAAACUAGCAAGGAAUGUCAAUCAUCUAAAUGUACACAACCCAACCAUGCUCGCCAUAUGGAGGGCUAAUGUUGACUGUCAACCUGUCUGCUCCAAAAAAGCAGUUCUACAAUAUAUCUCGAAGUACACAUCCAAAACUGAACAGAAGUCAAAAAGUUAUACUAAUAUCCUGAAACACAUAGUUGAAUCAACAAAUUCAAAUGAUACAAUUCUCUUGGCAUACCAAAGACUAUUGAUGGGAAUUGUUGCUAAUAGGGACAUUAGCACACAAGAAACUUGUCACAUGCUAUUUAAACUCCCAUUGAUAUCUUGCACACACCAAUUUGUAACACUCAAUGUUGGCAAAAGAAUAUUUCAACAAAUAGCUAAUUGUGAUGAAGGAUCUUAAAGCUUAAUAUCUUACAUCUCAAACUACAUGAAACGACCAUCAAAAUUAGCAAACCUGACUCUACUUCAUUCAGCCCAGCUAUAUACAUAUUUUGAUCAGCAUAAAUCAUGUAAAUGGAUGAAAAGAAAGCUACCAGCAAUUGUAAAUGUCUACCCACACCACAAAUCUUUACCUUUAGAAGAGGACAAUAGUUUUGAAAGUUUCUGUUGGAGUGAAUUACUUCUUUACAAACCAUUUCGAAUCAUUCCUCUACAUAUAGGGAACUUAGUUGAAGAAAUUAUAAUGAAUUGGAAACAUCUUCAAGGUAUAGAUUACAUCCGCUAGCAUGUAAAUAGUUUUGAAGAACACAUAACAAUAGAAAAUGGUGAAGAGCUAUAACGAGAAGACAUUCAACAAUCUACUCAUGAAGAUCUGUACGAAUGGGAGUUCCUAUCACAAAUGGGAGUGUCAAACAACUUUGACGUUGCUACUCUUCAAAUGCUUGGCAAACAUGAUUUUGAUCUACACUUUGAUUGGAUUUCUUCUAUACCUGCUAAACCACUGCAUUCAAAAGCAUCUCAAUUUAUUUUAACAGAGAAAAGCCAGGCACCCCACAUCCUUUCCAACCCGCAUUUAAAUGCACCUACUAACUAUGAGCUUGCAAGAAACCAAAUUAUUGCACUUGAUAUCAUUAAAACUCAUGCUGAACAGAACUUGCAUUCUUCACCAUUACGGUUAAUCAUUCAAGGCACAACAAGCACUAGAAAAUCAUUUCUUAUUGACUACAUAUAGAGACAACUAAGUUCAAAUUUAGAACCUGCACGAUACCCUUUGCUUGUACUAGCACCAAUAGGUGUUUCCACAUAUAAUAUCCAAGCAACCACAAUCCAUGUUGCUCUCUGCAUACCCAUUCAAGAAUACAAACCCUUAACAAGCCAUUCCCUAUUAAUGUUUCAAGAGCAAUGCAAACAUUUAUGUUACAUUUUAAUAGAUGAAAUGAGCUUUGUUGGCCCUCAAUUACUCAUUAAGAUUGAUAAAAGAUUGCGAGAAGUUUUUCCCAGCAGACAACAUAAAUCAUUUGCAGCUAUCUUAGUCAUUUUGGUUGGUGAUCUUGCACAAAUUCUCCCAAUUAUGGAUAGGCCAUUAUACGCAUCUCACUCAAUGGUACUAGCUCUAUGGCACACAUUCAAUAUGGUUGUGACCUUGGAUAUUACAUUUCAUCAACAAGGCACAAGUUCUUGAUAGAUAAGUUUUCGUGAAAUGUUACUUAAUAUCCGCAAUACAAAACCAUUGCAAACAGACUGGGAAUCCCUCCAAUUGUGGUCCACCCAUGCUUUGACACUUGAUCAGAAUAACCACUUCAGCUAACAAAAGCAUUUGUUUGCAACAAAUGCAGCUUCAAGUGCACACAACAUAAAAAUGUUAACACAAUUGCACGUGCAACAACAAUCAUUGCCCAUCAAAGAGAUAAGCAGGCACACCAAGAAGAACAACUAGCAUUUGAAAUUCUUCUUUCUAUAUACUAGGAAAUUAUGCUUAUUGCAAAUUUAUGGAUAGAAGUUGGCCUUGUAAAUGGUGCUUUGGGUCAAAUCAAACGAAUUAUUUACAAUGCAGCUUCCAAACCACCUGAUUUGCCUAAAUAUGUGAUUGUUCUUUUCAAACAUUAUACUAGGCCUUAAUGGGAUCCACAAAAUGCAAAACAUGUGCCUAUUCCACCAAUUACUAGAGGAAACUGCACACAAAUUCCACUAGCAAUGGCCUGGGGCAUUACUAUUCACAAAUCACAGGGGUUAACAUUAGACUUUGCCAUAGUUGACAUUGGCAAAAUAGAGAAACAAGGCCUAACAUUCACAACACUUUCAAGAGUAAAAGUAAUUGAACACCUACGUAUACAACCAGCCUUCACCUACCAAAGGUACUCACACUUGAAAGGUGCAACAUCAACAAUUCUUCGAAAGGCUGAGGAAGCCCACUUGCUUGAGCUGUCGCACAGAACAAAAGAAACAUACCUACAGAACAAACACAAUCAGGUUCAACAACACAACUAACGUCUAUGAAAUUGAAGAGCCCUUUUACAUGUCCCAACUCUACAACAAAAGAACACCUCUUCCCUUUCACGGGUAUUACGGUUUCUGAAGGUUAGCUUUCAAUAAAGAACAACAUCAAGGACACCUCUUCCCUUUCACAAGUAUUAUGGUUUCUGAAGGUUAGCUUUCAAUAAAGAACAACAUCAAGGACACCUCUUCCCUUUCAUAGGUAUUAUAGUUUCUGAAGGUUAGCUUUCAAUAAAGAACAACAUCAAGUCUGCAAGGCACCUAUUCACUUUUACACAUAUAAUGUUUUCUACUGGUAUUUGCUCACUAUGUCACUCUUUACAAUUGGUUUCUUACUUUGUUUAGGUUUUCUUCACUCAAGAAUACAACUUUCCAUAAAGAACAACACCCAAUACACCAAUGUCAAUACUAUCAAGAAAAGAUCUCUCACAACAAACAAAUACUGACAUGAAUGAUAGGUGACAUUCCAAUUCUACCAUUUCACAUCCAUCAGGUGUCUCAUCAUAUAAAUCAUAUGGAAUUCAACAAAAGGCUAUAUACAAUGCUGGUCUUACCAAGAUGGGGGAUGGAGGGUGGAUAACAACAAUACUUUGGGUCCAACAAAAAUAUUUGGUUGGGAUUAAUAUACCCUACAAAAAAAAAUGUAAAUCAAAUAUUCAUGAUAUUUUCUUCAAGUACAUCAUGCUGCAUACACCAGCAUGGGGGAUGGUGGGUGGAAAAUUUUCAA